This 497-nucleotide ribosomal RNA is filed under the name uncultured bacterium. Its description in RNAcentral is "partial 16S ribosomal RNA". It matches the Rfam family "Bacterial small subunit ribosomal RNA", at positions 28 to 507 of the family's 1533-position model. The record is from RNAcentral.
GAUGAACGCUGGCGGCGUGCCUAAUACAUGCAAGUCGAGCGAACAGAUGAGGAGCUUGCUCCUCUGACGUUAGCGGCGGACGGGUGAGUAACACGUGGAUAACCUACCUAUAAGACUGGGAUAACUUCGGGAAACGGGAGCUAAUACCGGAUAAUAUAUUGAACCGCAUGGUUCAAUAGUGAAAGACGGCUUUGCUGUCACUUAUAGAUGGAUCCGCGCCGCAUUAGCUAGUUGGUAAGGUAACGGCUUACCAAGGCAACGAUGCGUAGCCGACCUGAGAGGGUGAUCGGCCACACUGGAACUGAGACACGGUCCAGACUCCUACGGGAGGCAGCAGUAGGGAAUCUUCCGCAAUGGGCGAAAGCCUGACGGAGCAACGCCGCGUGAGUGAUGAAGGUCUUCGGAUCGUAAAACUCUGUUAUUAGGGAAGAACAAAUGUGUAAGUAACUAUGCACGUCUUGACGGUACCUAAUCAGAAAGCCACGGCUAACUACGUG